UACAGAGGUCUCAAGCGUUGUUCGGAUUCAUUGGGCGUAAAGGGUGCGUAGGCGGCGCGGUAAGUCGGGUGUGAAAUCUCGGAGCUUAACUCCGAAACUGCAUUCGAUACUGCCGUGCUUGAGGACUGGAGAGGAGACUGGAAUUUACGGUGUAGCGGUGAAAUGCGUAGAUAUCUGGAGGAACACCGGUGGCGAAGGCGGCGUCCUGGACCAACACUGACACUGAUGAGCGAAAGCCAGGGGAGCAAACGGG
RNAcentral lists this ribosomal RNA (253 nucleotides) under uncultured bacterium. Its description in RNAcentral is "partial 16S ribosomal RNA". It matches the Rfam family "Bacterial small subunit ribosomal RNA", at positions 524 to 776 of the family's 1533-position model. The record is from RNAcentral.